CCCUUAGACACUCUAGGCGGCACGCGCGCUACAAUGGGUGGAAGAACGUGUUACUGCCUCCGAAAGGAGGGGUGAAUCACGAAUUCUUGCCCGUGAAUGGGAUAGUUUGUUGCAAUUUUCGGACUUGAACUAGGAAUCCCUUGUAAACAUGCUCAAGAAUAGCGUGUUGAAUACGUCCCUGCCGUUUGUACACACCGCCCGUCGUUUCUUCCGACUGAUACUCAUUGUGAGUUGCAAGGACCCUUUAUUGGGAAAUUGCUGCAAAUGCUUCGUAUUGGAGGAAGAAAAAGUCGUAACA
RNAcentral lists this ribosomal RNA (298 nucleotides) under uncultured eukaryote. Its description in RNAcentral is "partial 18S ribosomal RNA". It matches the Rfam family "Eukaryotic small subunit ribosomal RNA", at positions 1470 to 1796 of the family's 1831-position model. The record is from RNAcentral.